UAGCUCAGUCGGUAGAGCAUGAGACUCUUAAUCUCAGGGUCUUGGGUUCGUGCCCCAC
Molecule: transfer RNA, 58 nt
Filed under: Neotoma lepida (desert woodrat)
Lineage: Eukaryota; Metazoa; Chordata; Mammalia; Rodentia; Cricetidae
Rfam family: tRNA
About the family: Transfer RNA (tRNA) molecules are approximately 80 nucleotides in length. Their secondary structure includes four short double-helical elements and three loops (D, anti-codon, and T loops). Further hydrogen bonds mediate the characteristic L-shaped molecular structure. tRNAs have two regions of fundamental functional importance: the anti-codon, which is responsible for specific mRNA codon recognition, and the 3' end, to which the tRNAs corresponding amino acid is attached (by aminoacyl-tRNA synthetases). tRNAs cope with the degeneracy of the genetic code in two manners: having more than one tRNA (with a specific anti-codon) for a particular amino acid; and 'wobble' base-pairing, i.e. permitting non-standard base-pairing at the 3rd anti-codon position.
Source: Rfam by way of RNAcentral